Molecule: ribosomal RNA, 392 nt
Filed under: uncultured bacterium
Lineage: Bacteria
Description: partial 16S ribosomal RNA
Rfam family: Bacterial small subunit ribosomal RNA
Source: RNAcentral
AUACGGAGGAUCCGAGCGUUAUCCGGAUUUAUUGGGUUUAAAGGGUGCGCAGGCGGCCAGUUAAGUCAGCGGUUAAAUCGUGGGGCUCAACCCCAUUCUGCCGUUGAUACUGGGUGGCUUGAUUGCGGUCGAGGUUGGCGGAAUUCGUUGUGUAUCGGUGAAAUGCAUAGAUAUGACGAAGAACACCGAUUGCGUAGGCAGCUGACCAGACCGCAAAUGACGCUCAUGCACGAAAGUGCGGGGAUCGAACAGGAUUAGAUACCCUGGUAGUCCGCACAGUAAACGAUGAAUACUUGUUUUCGGCGAUAUAAUGUCGGAGGCAAAGCGAAAGCGAUAAGUAUUCCACCUGGGGAGUACGCCGGCAACGGUGAAACUCAAAUGAAUUGGCGGGG